GAUGAACGCUGGCGGCGCGCCUAAUACAUGCAAGUCGAGCGAACGGAUGAGAAGCUUGCUCCUCUGAUGUUAGCGGCGGACGGGUGAGUAACACGUGGAUAACCUACCUAUAAGACUGGGAUAACUUCGGGAAACCGGAGCUAAUACCGGAUAAUAUUUUGAACCGCAUGGUUCAAAAGUGAAAGACGGUCUUGCUGUCACUUAUAGAUGGAUCCGCGCUGCAUUAGCUAGUUGGUAAGGUAACGGCUUACCAAGGCAACGAUGCAUAGCCGACCUGAGAGGGUGAUCGGCCACACUGGAACUGAGACACGGUCCAGACUCCUACGGGAGGCAGCAGUAGGGAAUCUUCCGCAAUGGGCGAAAGCCUGACGGAGCAACGCCGCGUGAGUGAUGAAGGUCUUCGGAUCGUAAAACUCUGUUAUUAGGGAAGAACAUAUGUGUAAGUAACUGUGCACAUCUUGACGGUACCUAAUCAGAAAGCCACGGCUAACUACGUG
This 497-nucleotide ribosomal RNA is filed under the name uncultured bacterium. RNAcentral describes it as "partial 16S ribosomal RNA". It matches the Rfam family "Bacterial small subunit ribosomal RNA", at positions 28 to 507 of the family's 1533-position model. The record is from RNAcentral.